RNAcentral lists this unclassified non-coding RNA (379 nucleotides) under plant metagenome. RNAcentral's name for it is "partial contains 5.8S ribosomal RNA, internal transcribed spacer 2, and large subunit ribosomal RNA". The stretch from base 1 to 106 matches the Rfam family "5.8S ribosomal RNA", at positions 49 to 154 of the family's 154-position model. The record is from RNAcentral.
CGAAAUGCGAUAAGUAAUGUGAAUUGCAGAAUUCAGUGAAUCAUCGAAUCUUUGAACGCACCUUGCGCUCCUUGGUAUUCCUUGGAGCAUGCCUGUUUGAGUAUCAUGAAAUCUUCAAAGUAAAUCUUUUGUUAACUCAAUUGGUUUCUACUUUGGUAUUGGAGGUCUUUGCAGCUCCACACCUGCUCCUCUUUGUUCAUUAGCUGGAUCUCAGUGUUAUGCUUGGUUCCACUCGGCGUGAUAAGUUAUCUAUCGCUGAGGACACUGUAAAAGGUGGCCAAGGUAAAUGCAGAUGAACCGCUUCUAAUAGUCCAUUGACUUGGACAAUACUUUUAUGAUCUGAUCUCAAAUCAGGUAGGACUACCCGCUGAACUUAAGC